RNAcentral lists this ribosomal RNA (421 nucleotides) under uncultured bacterium. RNAcentral describes it as "bacterial SSU rRNA". It matches the Rfam family "Bacterial small subunit ribosomal RNA", at positions 362 to 775 of the family's 1533-position model. The record is from RNAcentral.
UAUUGCACAAUGGGCGCAAGCCUGAUGCAGCCAUGCCGCGUGUAUGAAGAAGGCCUUCGGGUUGUAAAGUACUUUCAGCGGGGAGGAAGGCGUUGUGGUUAAUAACCGCAGCGAUUGACGUUACCCGCAGAAGAAGCACCGGCUACCCCCGUGCCAGGAGCCGCGGUAAUACGGAGGGUGCAAGCGUUAAUCGGAAUUACUGGGCGUACAGCGCACGCAGGCGGUCUGUUAAGUCAGAUGUGAAAUCCCCGGGCUCAACCUGGGAACUGCAUUUGAAACUGGCAGGCUUGAGUCUCGUAGAGGGGGGUAGAAUUCCAGGUGUAGCGGUGAAAUGCGUAGAGAUCUGGAGGAAUACCGGUGGCGAAGGCGGCCCCCUGGACGAAGACUGACGCUCAGGUGCGAAAGCGUGGGGAGCAAACAG